GCAGGUCGAGCGCAGUGCUGUGACGCCGUGAGAGUGCUUUACGGCUCAGUCACGCGUGGACACUGGGUCCACGGAAUGAGACCUGCCAGCAUCGGGCAGUUACGUUACUUAUAUGCAGUAACCAGAUGUGAACUGAACUCAAUUUGGGAGACAGAGAAAUGUGAGGAGUGUUUUUGCAUACCAAGUGGAAUUCAAUGCUGCAACAACUUCCUGAGUAGCUGAGACUACAGGAUGAACCAACAGACCUGCCUCAUUUUUGUUUCUGAAAUUUGGUCAGUAUCGUUACUCUUAAAGACUUAUAUUCAAAUAAAUAUCUAAAUGUUUAUUAAUGCUGUUCUAGAAGUUGGCCUGGUGGUCACUCUAGCCUUGAUCUUGGAGAUUUCUAAGAACAGAAAAGAUCUGAGCACAGGCAGAAGGAAGAGCUGAGAGGUGCACUUGAUGACAUGCCAUGUGCUUACUGCUUUACUGUCCUUAUGAUGGCCCAAA
Molecule: long non-coding RNA, 486 nt
Organism: Dipodomys spectabilis (banner-tailed kangaroo rat)
Lineage: Eukaryota; Metazoa; Chordata; Mammalia; Rodentia; Heteromyidae
Exons: 3
Source: RefSeq, a predicted model, not a curated record